CAGGUCCAGCUGCAGCAGUCUGGGGCUGAAAUGGUGAGGCCUGGGGCCUCAGUGAAGAUGUCCUGCAAGGCUUUUGGCUACACAUUCACUGACUAUGGCAUGCAUUGGGUGAAGCAUAGUCACGGAAGGCAUCCUUGAGAGGAUUGGAAAUAUUAAUACUUACUAUGACAAUACUGGCUACAAUGAAAAGUUCAAGGGCAAGUCCAAAUUGACUGUAGACAAAUCCUCCAGCACAGCCUAUGUGGAGUUUAGCAGAAUGACAUCUGAGGAUUCUGUAGUCUAUUACUGUGAAAGA
Non-coding RNA from Mus musculus (house mouse), 295 nucleotides. The record is from the annotation of a RefSeq genome assembly. Lineage: Eukaryota; Metazoa; Chordata; Mammalia; Rodentia; Muridae.